UACACACCGCCCGUCACACCAUGGGAGCGGGUUUCACCAGAAGUAGCUAGCCUAACCUGCAAAGGAGGGCGGUUACCACGGUGAAAGAUUCGUGACUGGGGUG
This 103-nucleotide ribosomal RNA is filed under the name uncultured bacterium. Its description in RNAcentral is "partial 16S ribosomal RNA". It matches the Rfam family "Bacterial small subunit ribosomal RNA", at positions 1384 to 1482 of the family's 1533-position model. The record is from RNAcentral.